UUCAAUUUUUCAAUGACCUUUCAUGCCACAACGGUGGCAGUUACCUCUUUUGACUCUUGAAGGAUUGUUUUGAGAACCCAUAUUGUUCUCUCGUUUGCCAUGACCACCACGAUGACGACUAUUAAUUGUAUCUUACAAUUGACAUGCCCACAUACAUUCAUAUGGCCAUGAAUAUUAUUCUGUCUUUUUCCAGACUUAUCACGUCUAGCUGCC
RNAcentral lists this long non-coding RNA (213 nucleotides) under Nicotiana benthamiana. RNAcentral's name for it is "long non-coding RNA (NBEN_LNC001234)". The record is from RNAcentral. Lineage: Eukaryota; Viridiplantae; Streptophyta; Magnoliopsida; Solanales; Solanaceae.